Molecule: ribosomal RNA, 441 nt
Filed under: uncultured bacterium
Lineage: Bacteria
Description: partial 16S ribosomal RNA
Rfam family: Bacterial small subunit ribosomal RNA
Source: RNAcentral
CCUACGGGUGGCAGCAGUGGGGAAUAUUGCACAAUGGGGGAAACCCUGAUGCAGCGACGCCGCGUGUGGGAAGACGGACCUCUGGAUUGUAAACCACUGUCCCCAGGGACGAAAAUGCCGGUACCUGGGGAGGAAGCUCCGGCUAACUACGUCCCAGCAGCAGCGGGAAUACGAAGGGAGCAAGCGUUGUCCGGAAUUACUGGGUGUAAAGGGCGGGUAGGCGGGACUGCAAGUCAGAUGUGAAAACCAGGGGCUCAACCUGUGGACUGCAUUGGAAACUGUAGUGCUGGAGUGCUGGAGAGGGAGGUGGAAGUCCUAGUGUAGCGGUGAAAUGCGUAGAUAUUAGGAGGAACACCAGUGGCGAAGGCGGUCUGCUGGACUGCAACUGACGUUGAGGCGCGAAAGCGUGGGGAGCAAACAGGAUUAGAUACCCCGGUAGUC